CGCGUAAGUACCUGCCCUUAGGAUGGGGAUACCAACUGGAAACGGUUGCUAAUACCCUAUAUGCUGAGGAGUGAAAGAAUUUCGCCUAAGGAGGGGCUUGCGUCUGAUUAGCUAGUAGGUGGGGUAAUGGCUCACCUAGGCGACGAUCUCUAGCUGGUUUGAGAGGAUGAUCAGCCACACUGGGACUGAGACACGGCCCAGACUCCUACGGGAGGCAGCAGUGGGGAAUAUUGCACAAUGGGGGAAACCCUGAUGCAGCCAUGCCGCGUGUGUGAAGAAGGCCUGGUUGUAAAGCACUUU
This 300-nucleotide ribosomal RNA is filed under the name uncultured bacterium. Its description in RNAcentral is "bacterial SSU rRNA". It matches the Rfam family "Bacterial small subunit ribosomal RNA", at positions 114 to 436 of the family's 1533-position model. The record is from RNAcentral.